Molecule: non-coding RNA, 712 nt
Organism: Paramuricea clavata
Lineage: Eukaryota; Metazoa; Cnidaria; Anthozoa; Malacalcyonacea; Plexauridae
Source: the annotation of a GenBank genome assembly
GUUUCAAAUAUCGUUCUCUGCUAUAUUAAAAGACAAUGUCAAUGUUAAAUAACAUAGUGGGAUACUGGGCUUAUAUUCAGGGGGCUUAUAUUCAGGGGACUUAUAUUCAGGGGGGCUUAUAUUUGGGGGGGGGGCUUAUAUUUGGAAUGAGGUGAGCAUUAUAUUCAGAGGUUUACAGUAUACAGUUGAAAAAAGCUUGUAUUUUCUUGUCAUAGACACACAUUUCUGGGUGCAUAUAGAACAGCUUAUACGUCAGGUUCUCAUGUCGAUCCAAUGGUAAUUUGAUAUCGCUGCCAUCACCAUAAUAUAGUGUAGCACAGAAUGGCCUUGUAUCAUACUUUGACAUCAUGCAUGCAGAAAUGCCUUGGUCAUUCAUGUGGAAAUAUGAGAUAUGACUAUCACGAUAGAAUUAGUUACGCCAAGUAACACGUCGUACACGUCAGGUAGCAGCUGAAAUAUUUUAAUAUUUGCCAUAAUAAGCCCAUAACCUGUUGGCAAAACAACCAAAACAUCUUCACCAUUUUACAUUAUGGCCGAGAUACAUUUGAAUGUCUCGUCUUUUAACGAAUAUUCAAGCCCUAUUUUCGCUAGAACAACUUUCAUAGCUCUUUCAGUAUUUGCCAUUGAAUAUAAUUUAAUAGUAGUACGAUUUAAAGCACCUUCAAACGUAUAAAAACCCAUUUUGUAUACUAUAUUCUGAUGAGAAUCUUUG